This 1067-nucleotide long non-coding RNA is filed under the name Salmo salar (Atlantic salmon). Its description in RNAcentral is "lncRNA (ENSSSAG00000122238.1)". Lineage: Eukaryota; Metazoa; Chordata; Actinopteri; Salmoniformes; Salmonidae. The record is from RNAcentral.
GAAGAAUCCAGAAUGAGGGGUGCGUCACUUGAGUGGGUUGAGUCACUGACGUGGUCUUCCUGUCUGGGUUGGCGCCCCCCCUUGGGUUGUGCCGUGGCGGAGAUCUUUGUGGGCUAUACUCGGCCUUGUCUCAGGAUGGUAAGUUGGUGGUUGGAGAUAUCACUCCAGUGGUGUGGGGGCUGUGCUUUGGCAAAGUGGGUGGGGUUAUAUCCUGCCUGUUUGGCCCUGUCCGUGGGUAUCAUCGGAUGGGGCCACAGUGUCUCCUGACCCCUCCUGUCUCAGCCUCCAGUAUUUAUGCUGCAGUAGUUUAUGUGUCGGGGGGCUAGGGUCAGUCUGUUACAUCUGGAGUAUUUCUCUUGUCUUAUCCGGUGUCCUAUGUGAAUUUAAAUAUACUAUCUCUAAUUCUCUCUUUCUCUCUUUAUUUUUCUCUCUCGGAGGACCUGAGCACUAGGACCAUGCCUCAGGACUACCUGGAAUGAUGACUCUUUGCUGUCCCCAGUCCACCUGGCCGUGCUGCUGCUCCAGUGUCCAACUGUUCUGCCUGUGGCUAUGGAACCCUGACCUGUUCACCGGACGUGCUACCUGUCCCAGACCUGCUGGAACCCUGACCUGUUCACCGGACGUGCUACCUGUCCCAGACCUGCUGUUUUCAACUCUCUAGAGACAGCAGGAGCAGUGAGAUACUCUCAAAGAUCGGCUAUGAAAAAGCCAACUGACACUUACUCUUGAGUUGCUGACUUGUUGCACCCUCGACAACUACUAUGAUUAUUAUUAUUUGACCAUGCUGGUCAUUUAUGAACAUUUGAACAUCUUGGCCAUGUUCUCUCAUAAUCUCCACCCCGGCACAGCCAGAAGAGGACUGGCCACCCCUCAUAGCCUGGUUCCUCUCUAGGUUUCUUCCUAUGGUUUGGCCUUUCUAGGGAGUUUUUCCUAGCCACCGUGCAUCUACACCUGCAUUGCUUGCUGUUUGGGGUUUUAGGCUGGGUUUCUGUACAGCACUUUGAGAAUAUCAGCUGAUGUAAGAAGGGCUAUAUAAAUACAUUUGAUUGAUUGAUUGCGCAUCCCCC